RNAcentral lists this ribosomal RNA (305 nucleotides) under uncultured bacterium. RNAcentral's name for it is "partial 16S ribosomal RNA". It matches the Rfam family "Bacterial small subunit ribosomal RNA", at positions 508 to 807 of the family's 1533-position model. The record is from RNAcentral.
ACAGCAGUAGCCGCGGUAAAACGGAGGGGGCUAGCGUUGUUCGGAAUUACUGGGCGUAAAGCGCACGUAGGCGGCUUGGUAAGUUAGAGGUGAAAGCCUGGAGCUCAACUCCAGAAUUGCCUUUAAGACUGCCGAGCUAGCAGGUGAGAGAGGUAAGUGGAAUUCCGAGUGUAGAGGUGAAAUUCGUAGAUAUUCGGAAGAACACCAGUGGCGAAGGCGGCUUACUGGCUCAUACUGGACGCUGAGGUGCGAAAGCGUGGGGAGCAAACAGGAUUAGAUACCCCUGUAGUCCCUGUCUCUUAUAC